UGAGCCAAGUUUAGGGUUUUCUCAAAACCCAAGCAGUAUUGAACUGAAGAGUUUGAUCAUGGCUCAGAUUGAACGCUGGCGGCAGGCCUAACACAUGCAAGUCGAGCGGAUGAAGGGAGCUUGCUCCUGGAUUCAGCGGCGGACGGGU
RNAcentral lists this ribosomal RNA (148 nucleotides) under Pseudomonas aeruginosa. RNAcentral's name for it is "partial 16S ribosomal RNA". The stretch from base 41 to 148 matches the Rfam family "Bacterial small subunit ribosomal RNA", at positions 1 to 107 of the family's 1533-position model. Lineage: Bacteria; Pseudomonadati; Pseudomonadota; Gammaproteobacteria; Pseudomonadales; Pseudomonadaceae. The record is from RNAcentral.